CGGGACACGUGGUAUCCUGUCUGAAUAUGGGGGGACCAUCCUCCAAGGCUAAAUACUCCUGACUGACCGAUAGUGAACCAGUACCGUGAGGGAAAGGCGAAAAGAACCCCGGCGAGGGGAGUGAAAAAGAACCUGAAACCGUGUACGUACAAGCAGUGGGAGCACGCUUAGGCGUGUGACUGCGUACCUUUUGUAUAAUGGGUCAGCGACUUAUAUUCUGUAGCAAGGUUAACCGAAUAGGGGAGCCGAAGGGAAACCGAGUCUUAACUGGGCGUUAAGUUGCAGGGUAUAGACCCGAAACCCGGUGAUCUAGCCAUGGGCAGGUUGAAGGUUGGGUAACACUAACUGGAGGACCGAACCGACUAAUGUUGAAAAAUUAGCGGAUGACUUGUGGCUGGGGGUGAAAGGCCAAUCAAACCGGGAGAUAGCUGGUUCUCCCCGAAAGCUAUUUAGGUAGCGCCUCGUGAAUUCAUCUCCGGGGGUAGAGCACUGUUUCGGCAAGGGGGUCAUCCCGACUUACCAACCCGAUGCAAACUGCGAAUACCGGAGAAUGUUAUCACGGGAGACACACGGCGGGUGCUAACGUCCGUCGUGAAGAGGGAAACAACCCAGACCGCCAGCUAAGGUCCCAAAGUCAUGGUUAAGUGGGAAACGAUGUGGGAAGGCCCAGACAGCCAGGAUGUUGGCUUAGAAGCAGCCAUCAUUUAAAGAAAGCGUAAUAGCUCACUGGUCGAGUCGGCCUGCGCGGAAGAUGUAACGGGGCUAAACCAUGCACCGAAGCUGCGGCAGCGACGCUGAUGCGUUGUUGGGUAGGGGAGCGUUCUGUAAGCCUGUGAAGGUGUGCUGUGAGGCAUGCUGGAGGUAUCAGAAGUGCGAAUGCUGACAUAAGUAACGAUAAAGCGGGUGAAAAGCCCGCUCGCCGGAAGACCAAGGGUUCCUGUCCAACGUUAAUCGGGGCAGGGUGAGUCGACCCCUAAGGCGAGGCCGAAAGGCGUAGUCGAUGGGAAACAGGUUAAUAUUCCUGUACUUGGUGUUACUGCGAAGGGGGGACGGAGAAGGCUAUGUUGGCCGGGCGACGGUUGUCCCGGUUUAAGCGUGUAGGCUGGUUUUCCAGGCAAAUCCGGAAAAUCAAGGCUGAGGCGUGAUGACGAGGCACUACGGUGCUGAAGCAACAAAUGCCCUGCUUCCAGGAAAAGCCUCUAAGCAUCAGGUAACAUCAAAUCGUACCCCAAACCGACACAGGUGGUCAGGUAGAGAAUACCAAGGCGCUUGAGAGAACUCGGGUGAAGGAACUAGGCAAAAUGGUGCCGUAACUUCGGGAGAAGGCACGCUGAUAUGUAGGUGAAGCGACUUGCUCGUGGAGCUGAAAUCAGUCGAAGAUACCAG
Molecule: ribosomal RNA, 1386 nt
Filed under: Escherichia coli
Lineage: Bacteria; Pseudomonadati; Pseudomonadota; Gammaproteobacteria; Enterobacterales; Enterobacteriaceae
Description: partial 23S ribosomal RNA
Rfam family: Bacterial large subunit ribosomal RNA
Source: RNAcentral